UACAGAGGGUGCAAGCGUUGCUCGGAAUCAUUGGGCGUAAAGGGUAGGUAGGUGGUCUCGUUUGUCUGGGGUGAAAGCCUUGAGCUUAACUCAAGAAGUGCCUUAGAAACGGCGAGACUGGAGUCUUGGAGAGGGUCGUGGAAUUCCCGGUGUAGCGGUGAAAUGCGUAGAGAUCGGGAGGAACACCAGAGGCGAAGGCGGCGACCUGGACAAGUACUGACACUCAACUACGAAAGCGUGGGGAGCAAACAGG
Molecule: ribosomal RNA, 253 nt
Filed under: uncultured bacterium
Lineage: Bacteria
Description: partial 16S ribosomal RNA
Rfam family: Bacterial small subunit ribosomal RNA
Source: RNAcentral